AUUGUCUAGAUCAUUUGUCAAGCCCAGUACUACCAAGUUCCAAGUGUCAAAGAUUCUUGGUCCGCUGAUUGACGCGAAUGGGGAUUUGGAUAAGGAUUAGAGAGACUUUUCAAUGAGUUAAAUAUGGUUGAGGCAGGAGAAGGAUCAAGCAGGGAAGAUGUGCAGUUUGUGGGAGCACGCAAAUGUCAACAAUUGGGAAGCCACUCCUCUUCCCACCUAAAGGGAGUCGUGGUAGUCGGCUUUGAUUUUUCUUUCAGUCUAGUCUUGAUUAGCUUCAGGGUUGUUAAUUCAGUUGUUAUUUCCAUCUGUUUGAAU
RNAcentral lists this long non-coding RNA (315 nucleotides) under Nicotiana benthamiana. RNAcentral describes it as "long non-coding RNA (NBEN_LNC015907)". Lineage: Eukaryota; Viridiplantae; Streptophyta; Magnoliopsida; Solanales; Solanaceae. The record is from RNAcentral.